CAACUCAUGACAAACCCUUUGAAUUGAUCUACUCUAGGAGGAAUCGUCAUUAAAGACCCCAUGGGAUAAGAAUCCACAAUGGCCAAAACAGGACGACCCCUUACAACAUGAUAUGAAUGAAAUAUAAAACAAAAUAAAAAGCAUAAAAAUAGAAAGAAACAUUAAAUAAAUAAAUAAAAUAAGAAAUAAAUAAAAAUAAGCAAAAAAAGGAACAUGCAAAAACCCUAAAACUGAAGGUUAGGAUGAAAUCUCUUUAGGGAAAGUAUAAGAUAGUCCCC
This 278-nucleotide long non-coding RNA is filed under the name Lathyrus oleraceus (garden pea). Its description in RNAcentral is "Pisum sativum (pea) long non-coding RNA (PSAT_LNC037321)". The record is from RNAcentral. Lineage: Eukaryota; Viridiplantae; Streptophyta; Magnoliopsida; Fabales; Fabaceae.